AGUGAGAUAACUGAGUCAAAUGGUGGUUCCAUUCCCUUUUCUGAGGAAUCUCCAUACUGCCCUCCAGAGUGGAUGCACCAGUUUGCAGUCCCACCAGCAAU
This 101-nucleotide microRNA precursor is filed under the name Marmota monax (woodchuck). The record is from RNAcentral. Lineage: Eukaryota; Metazoa; Chordata; Mammalia; Rodentia; Sciuridae.